UCUGGGCUCUCUCGCGAACAAUGGAUGACGUCACUGCUACGUCACUCACGUGUGACGUCACCUGAAGACUUUUUUUCCCUAAGUUAGUUUUGACUUUUCCCCGUGUCGCCACGGAGUGCCUAGUAUGUCACGUGCUUGAUGAAUUUCGUCCCUAAUGUCCUAGUGUCAUCUUCACCUCCGCCGGCACUGUCUCCGCGCACGUGUCACGAAGUGUCGUCGGUGUCGUCAAGUAGCCGCAAAAGUCAAUACUCCCAUGAAAUGCGACGUUUGUGGCGUUGGCCUGUCUUCACUGGAAAAAUAUGGGGAGCACCACAUCGCAGCGCACAAAUUCGCCGCCGAAUACGUGCAGCAGGCGUUCCACAAAGAUAAAGAAUUCAGUGAAUGGAAAGCUCAGGAAGAGGCGAACUGUUGGUUUGUUCUUCACACGGCUCCCAAAAAGCUGGCCAGUGGGGAAACGAGGAGCCACUACUACUCUAAUAGAUCAGGAGUGGCUAGGCCAAAGGAAGGUCAUGGUAAUCGUCGAGAAAAAAGUCAGGGUACCUGCAAGUCCGGUAAGAUAUGUCUUUCAUUUAUUACUGUGACGAAGAAGGAGAACACUCAGAGCCCGGCACCUGAAGAUAUCACCAUAAAUGUAAGGUACCAAAGAAAGCAUUAUGGCCAUGAAGCAGAAAUUCAGCACUUGAGGAUGAGUGACAAAGAAAAGGCCAACGGGGUUAACCAACGUAGCAGAGGACCUGGAGCGUGGUGUGCCCAUGAAAACCAUAUUGAAUAAUAUAAGAACAUCUGUUGGGGGCAUGUAAGCUGAGGCCAGCACAUUUGGCAGAACGCAUAACUCUGCAUAAUAUCAAACGGCAGUUUCACAUUGCUGCUCCUGAACAGUGUCACACCAAUGAUGCUGUCAGUGUAGAUAUGUGGGUGAAAGCAAUGUAAGACAAAGGUGAAACACUUGUCUGUCUGUAUAAGGCACAAGGUGCAGUGGACCCAACUGGUACUUUUGGUGCAACAGAUUUUGCCCUUGCUUUGAUGACAGAGCCACAAAAAGAGCUGUUAGAAGAAUUGGGCACGGGCACUGUGUGUCUUGACUCAACACAUGGAACUACAGGGUAACAGUUUGAGCUGACCACUCUUCUAGUGCUAGAUGAAGUGGGAUAAGGUAUACCUAUAGCCUAUUUCAUCUGCAACAGGAUGAAUGAGGAAAACUUGGCAGCUUUUUCAGGUCUCUUGAGUGUGCCAUCAACGAAAAAGUGGCUGCUAAGACAUUUAUGUCUGAUGACGCCUCACAAUUUUACAAGGCAUGGUCGUCAGUUAUGGGUGUCCCUCAGCAGAAACUUCUCUGCACCUGGCAUGUGGAUAGGAAUUGGCAGAAGAAGAUACGAGUUUGUAGAAAAACAACUGAGGCCAGACGUGUACCACAACGUGCGACUCCUUUUAGAGUUCCUUGACCAGCAAGAAUUUGAAAAGUAUCUUCAAUCAUUCCUUGACACUGAGGAAGAAAAACUGAGGGAUUUUCUGAAGUACUUCAAGGACAACUAUGCAGUUAGACCUCAAGAGCGGGCCUACUGCUUUAGGACGAGGGCAGGUAUCAACACCAACAUGCACCUUGAGAGCAUGCACAGGACGAUGAAGCACAGCAUGCUGGAGGGAAAGAAGAAUAAGCGUGUUGAUAAACUAAUUUCUGUACUCAUGGACUUGACAUAUCAUUUUUUGAUGAAGAGGGCAAUCCAGAUGAUCAAAGGGCAAGAAGUUGAGUGCAGUUGAAAGGUACCACAGAUCUGGCACUGAAAUGGCAGGUUGUGCCAAAUUAAACGAAGACGGCACGUGGACUGUGCCAUCUCAGUCUACUAAAGGGCACUCUUAUACGGUGACAAAAGUUGGGGAUGCUGCUUGCUGUCCCUUGAGAUGCAAUGAAUGUGCAGUGUGUGCGCACCUGAUACACUUCAAAGUGUGCAAGCACAUUCACUGUGUGGUCAUUGCUAACACAUUGUCAAGCACUGACAAUAACGACUAUGAGAGCCCACCUGAAACAGUAACUGAAACGAGUCGGGCAUUGCACAUAGUGCAAGGCAUUGCAAAGCUGGAGGCGGCCACAACAGUGCCGAGCCAAAAGUCAUGGAUCGAUCUCGGCCGCGGCGGUCACAUUUCGAUGGAGGCGAAAUGGUAGAAGCCCGUGUACGUACGAUGGCAGUGCACGUUAAAGAACACCAGAUGGUCUAUAGAACACCAGAUGGUCAAAAUUUCCGGAGCCCUCGACUACAGCGUGCCUUUACCUACCUCGUGGUUUUGGCACGUAAAACCCCAGAAAUUGUUAUUAUUAUUGCCAAUGAUGACCACAUGCCUCAACAAAUAUGAAAAGUACUAUGUGUUGAUGUUGGCACUGGACCGAGGUUUCCACUAAAUAUAAAAUUUAAGUCACUCAUAUGUCUCAUCUGCUCUAUCUGACACAACUGCUGCUGUAAUUAAUAAUUGACUGGAAUGCAAGGUGUUCGAUUGGUGAAUGUGCUGACCUGCCCAUUUCUCACUUAUGAUUUCUCAUUUCAGAUAUUGUAUUGCUGAUUGUAGAGGUGUUAAAUGACAUUGAUUUCCCAAAGCUAUGGAGGAACCAAACCAGCAUUUUAAUAAAGCCUUAUUGUCAAAGCUUAACCUGGUUGUGUCUUCCUGGUUGUGUCUUCCUGUGUUGAUAAUGCAUACUUGUGCAUGCGGUUUCUGCGCUACAUUCAUUACAGUAAUGCAAUGCAGUUUCAUUUCAAGCCACGAGGACAGAGUCAGAAUCGAUUUAGAUCUGUUUCUUUCUUUAUGAAUGCUUAGAUUAUUAUUGUUGUUGUUGUUAUUAUUAUUAUUGCAGCGGUAUUUGCACACGUUUUCUGGCUACGGCGCGAACCCUUUAUUACAGAGGAGAGCUCGAUCAACAUCGACAUCGUCUGCAAUGGCGGAUUGUUUAUUUGCAAUUUGCAGCGUUUGCGCGAUGUAAAUUGUUCUUUCGCUAGUUUCUUGUACGCGGUAAUGUUAACAUUAACGCUCGCUAUCGAGUUUAGGGCAUGUCUUCUCACACGUGAAGGUGUGGUGCCUUUUUCACCCGUGGAUAUUCGUACUCGACUCCGCUCGCCCACCACAGCAGGUGAGGUCAUUGUUCAUCCGCCUUGGUGCAGUUGGCCUGCCUUGCAAACUCAUAAACGGCAUUGUGUGUUGCUGCCAUGUCUUCCGUUACUUUCUCUCAGUAGCAUGAACGAACUAUCUGCAUCCGUUUUGUCUGCACUACAACGGAGAUGCCUCAACUUCAGCCUAUGUUAACCCCCACUGCCUUUCAAGGAACAAUGUCAACAACGCCAGCACUAUGUGCUGCUGGGCCUUAUAACAUAAGCUUGCUCAGUGGCACAAACUGUCCAUAUAUUUUUGCCCCACAAUGCAACUGUGCCAUUCUCAGUGGUCCGUAUUGGGAAGCACUCCAGAUCUACAAACACUAUGAUGUGCUGUUGGCUGCUAGAAAAUGACUCAUUUAUAACAGCGGAGUUUUGCACAACAUAGAAAGGGUUAUGAAUGUAAAAAUGGCCAUCCCACUCCCAUUUGUCCAUCCACUCCCAUUUGUUGCACAAAGCUACGAUAAAAUUCAUAUGGAUUUCUCAUAAAGAACAGCAUUUUAGUUGGCGAAAAAUUUUGACAUGGUCCACAGUUUGAACUCGAGAACGACUUUUUUUCGGGGUGGUCGCUCUACCAUUUAAGCUAACCAGUAUGCUAGUAAUCAAAGUGCGAGGGCAAAUUCAGUUUGAAGCGCAUGGACACUGAAUAUGACAAAUGAGUUCUGUGGAAAGCACAGUAGGUAUAAGUAGCUUAUAGCCAGCUGCAAGUAAUGUUUUUUCUUUCAAGUUUGAUUUUCAUAAAUAGAUAUUAACGCAGAAUCUUCUGCUAAAAGCUGCUGCACGUUUCCACAGGACCCAUUUGCCACAUUCUGUGUGCUUUGACUUUUCAACUAAUUGGCCCUUACACUGCCCAUUGCUAGCCUACUGGCUAUCUCAGUUGUAGAGAAACAGCCCUGGAAAGGUGUUGGUUCCAGGCUUGAGCCCAGGAACAGUACGAAUUUUUUGUCUUCCUUUCUGAGAAAUCAGUAUGGAUUUCCUGGUAGCCUUGUACAAAACAGGUGGAUGGCCAUUUUUCAAUUCAAAAUAACUUGUUCUCUACACAGAUGAUGUAUGCGAACACAACUGUGAUGCCUUGAAUCAUGUCUGGACGAGCUGGGCUUGGAGCAUGUAGCCAAAUGUGAUGGUAGGAGCUCCAAGUGAAUGUUCUCAAAUGUUCAUUGUUCCAGUGCUCCCAGAACGAGGAAAAAGCUGGGACACAGCACUGUGUGCCUUGGCUUCUUUCCUCGCACUGUGACAUAAUGAAGUAGUACCACCUAGCCCAGUUCAUUGCGCUCUAAAAUGUGUUUAGCUACUUGUGAUGCCGUUCAGAACAAUCUGCUUGGCACAUUCACAGGUAGCA
Rhipicephalus sanguineus (brown dog tick) is the source of this 4473-nucleotide long non-coding RNA. RefSeq lists it as uncharacterized. The record is from RefSeq and is a predicted model, not a curated record. NCBI's taxonomy places the organism in Eukaryota, Metazoa, Arthropoda, Arachnida, Ixodida, Ixodidae. The transcript is spliced from 3 exons.